GGGUUUAACUCCUGCUUGUUACCGUUUCAUCUGACCGAAGCCGGAUGUCGUUUUGGUGUCUGAUUCGGUAAGGAACCGGGAGCACCAUCUGCGUAGGCUUGUGUUUUAAGACUUUCGCCGCCUACGGUCUUGGAUAGCCCCCGCCAGGCAGGGACCCCAAUAUUUGCAAAGAUGCGGUUACCCGCACCC
This is a non-coding RNA of Pseudomonas sp. Bc-h, 189 nucleotides long. Lineage: Bacteria; Pseudomonadati; Pseudomonadota; Gammaproteobacteria; Pseudomonadales; Pseudomonadaceae. The record is from Rfam.